GAGUUUGAUCAUGGCUCAGACGAACGCNNNGUGCGCGUAUGCAUGCAAGCUGAGCGAAGCUUUUCAGUAGUUUACUACAGAAAAUGACUGAGCGGCGAACGGGUGAGUAACGCGUGAGCAAUCUACUUUAGUUACUGGGAUAGCCCGAGGAAACUCGGAUUAAUACCGGAUAUUCUUAUUUUUUCACAUGAAAUUUUAAGGAAAGGUCAGCCGAACUAAGAUGAGCUCGCGUUCUAUCAGCUAGUUGGUGGGGUAAAAGCCUACCAAGGCUACGACGGAUAGCUGGUCUGAGAGGACGAUCAGCCACACUGGGACUGAGACACGGCCCAGACUCCUACGGGAGGCUGCAGCAGGGAAUAUUGCGCAAUGAGCGAAAGCUUGACGCAGCGACACCGCGUGUGGGAUGACGGUUCUAGGAUUGUAAACCACUUUCAGGAGGGAAGAAAAUGACGGUACCUCCACAAGAAGACCCGGCCAACUACGUGCCAGCAGCCGCGGUAAUACGUAGGGGUCAAGCGUUGUCCGGAUUUAUUGGGCGUAAAGAGCUCGUAGGCGGUUCAACAAGUCGGUCGUAAAAGUUUAGGGCUCAACCCUAAAAUGUCGAUCGAUACUGUUGUGACUAGGAUACGGUAGAGGUGAAUGGAAUUCCGAGUGUAGCGGUGAAAUGCGUAGAUAUUCGGAGGAACACCAAUUGCGAAGGCAGUUCACUGGACCGUGAUCGACGCUGAGGAGCGAAAGCUAGGGGAGCAAACAGGAUUAGAUACCCUGGUAGUCCUAGCUGUAAACGAUGGAUACUAGAUGUAGGAACUGGAUUGACGGUUUCUGUAUCGUAGCUAACGCGUUAAGUAUCCCGCCUGGGGAGUACGGUCGCAAGACUAAAACUCAAAGGAAUUGACGGGACCCCGCACAAGCGGCGGAGCAUGCGGCUUAAUUCGAUGAUACCCGUAGAACCUUACC
RNAcentral lists this ribosomal RNA (957 nucleotides) under uncultured bacterium. RNAcentral describes it as "bacterial SSU rRNA". It matches the Rfam family "Bacterial small subunit ribosomal RNA", at positions 9 to 975 of the family's 1533-position model. The record is from RNAcentral.